GCCCUUCUUACGGGAGGCAGCAGCGGGGAAUUUUGGACAAUGGGGGCAACCCUGAUCCAGCAAUGCCGCGUGUGCGAAGAAGGCCUUCGGGUUGUAAAGCACUUUUGUCGGGGAAGAAAUCUUUCGGGCUAAUACCCCUGGAAGGAUGACGGUACCUGAAGAAUAAGCACCGGCUAACUACGUGCCAGCAGCCGCGGUAAUACGUAGGGUGCAAGCGUUAAUCGGAAUUACUGGGCGUAAAGCGUGCGCAGGCGGUUUGCUAAGACAGUUGUGAAAUCCCCGGGCUUAACCUGGGAACUGCAAUUGUGACUGGCAGGCUAGAGUACGGCAGAGGGGGGUGGAAUUCCUGGUGUAGCAGUGAAAUGCGUAGAGAUCAGGAGGAACACCGAUGGCGAAGGCAGCCCCCUGGGCUAGUACUGACGCUCAUGCACGAAAGCGUGGGGAGCAAACAGGAUUAGAUACCCUGGUAGUCCACGCCCUAAACGAUGUCAAUUAGUUGUUGGUCCUUCAUUGGAUUAGUAACGAAGCUAACGCGUGAAAUUGACCGCCUGGGGAGUACGGUCGCAAGAUUAAAACUCAAAGGAAUUGACGGAAGGGC
RNAcentral lists this ribosomal RNA (598 nucleotides) under uncultured bacterium. RNAcentral's name for it is "bacterial SSU rRNA". It matches the Rfam family "Bacterial small subunit ribosomal RNA", at positions 332 to 922 of the family's 1533-position model. The record is from RNAcentral.